AAGGAGUCCAACACAUAUGCGAGUGUUUGGGUGGCAAACCCGAGCGCGGAAUGAAAGUGAAUGGAGGUGGGAUUCUUCGGAAGCACCAUCGACCGGUCUGGAUUUCUUUGAAAGAUCUGAGUAAGAGCAUAUUUGUUGGGACCCGAAAGAUGGUGAACUAUGCCUGAAUAGGGUGAAGUCAGAGGAAACUCUGAUGGAAGCUCGUAGCGGUUCUGACGUGCAAAUCGAUCGUCAAAUUUGGGUAUAGGGGCGAAAGACUAAUCGAACCAUCUAGUAGCUGGUUCCCUC
Molecule: unclassified non-coding RNA, 288 nt
Filed under: uncultured fungus
Lineage: Eukaryota; Fungi
Description: partial contains 5.8S rRNA, ITS2 and 28S rRNA
Rfam family: Eukaryotic large subunit ribosomal RNA
Source: RNAcentral